AUUUUUUUACCUUUGUAAAUACAUAAAUAAUAAAUACAUGUAGUUUUAUUUUUAUAGCUACUGGAAAAACACUUCCAUGGUUUAAUUGUACCUUUUUAAACAUUGUUGCUGAACGGUUUUGGAAAGGAGAGGCAAAGGGAGUUUUUCUUGACUAAUGUGGAAAAUGUGAAUAAAGCACAAUGAGCGCUUACUUGAUGAUGAUUUAGAUGCUGAGAAAAUUCGGAGAUCUUUCCAUCAUCAUUCUGAACAUCAACCCAAUUGACAGAACUCUGUAUGUUUCAGCAGCAGCUGGAAAAUGUCCGGUGAUCGCUGAGCCUUUCCUGUUUUCUCUCAGAGUACAGAGAGCACCAUACUCUGCCAGCUGGAGGCAGUCUGACUAUCCCUGUGUACACGAGGGAGAAAGUGGUGAUGCUGUUCCAUCCUUCUAGAAACGGGGAUUCUUUCGAACUGUGUACUCUAGAGAAUGGAAUAGCAGACUGCCACGAUGAGUACAACCAUGCGAUAUCCUUUAAGGGGGAAGGUCUGGUGUUACAUGGCUUAACACCAGAAUACCAUGGGAAAUUCGAAGUGCUCCACAGGGAGAGAAAUGUGCUCCUCAGCCAUGUGUCACUGACAGUAAAAGAUCACAAAGAACACAUCACCCUGCAGACUGGAGCUGUCCUCAUUAUCCGCUUCUACACUGAUACGCCAGUGAAGGUGCUGUUUUUCCCCCCGGGGGGACAUCAGCCCCCCCGAACUCUGCUAAACCACAGUGAGGUUCUUGUCCCUGAGGACUUCUUACUGAAGAAAGGAUGCCUGGUGCUGAAAAGAGUCACACCAGCACAUCAGGGCGUUUACAAAGUGCAGUACAUCAGCAAGGAAAUCAAUAUCAACACGGUAGCGGUCACUGUGGCAGAUUCAGAGAGACUGAGUGACUUUGGAAGCCCAUAUUUUGAGAAAAGGAUCAGCGGCAAAGACACAGGUUCUGAAAAUUUGCUCCAAGAUCCCAAAUUUCUAGCAGUGUUUGCUGUUAUAGGUGUUUUGGUGGUGAUAAUUCUGGUGAUGCUGUCAGUCGGGCUGAGAAGGAGGUGGUCGGACGUUAAUGCCUACGCUUGCUGACGUAGCUACCCACCAAAAUUAUAGUAUACAAAUAUACAAAUUUUGAAGGGGUAUUGUAACAAAAGCGUUCUUUCAGGACUCUAUGCAGACGACACAAUCCGGGGAUGAGUGGGGAAAACACGGGGGGAAAGCAUGUAGGAGUUGGGAAUCAAAACAGGGGGCGUGUCCAUGGUGUGCUGGUGUUCGGGGGAGGUGUGGCUGAGGCAAACAAUCCAGGAGAAGGUCCAAGGGGGAAUCCAAGAGAAGACGAAAAUCCAAAACCAGGCGGUCCAUCCAAGACGAACAGAAUAAAAACGGGAACCAGGUCGGAACCGGCAGGAACAGGAACUUAAAAGCUUGACGUGACCAGGCGCUUCCAGGUCCCGGAUUCGCCUGGUAUGGAAACCAAUGCAGAGCCCGGAACAGAGUAGGCGUCUGGCUUUUAAGGGGAACUGAAAAGGGGUCUGGAACAGGGAGCAGGUGCGGGAGAUGAGUAAAGAACAAGGAAGGGCUGGAGCGUCCUUAAGAGAAGGGGUUUAUGAAUGUGACAGGAAUAGAUCCUGGUAGAAAUUUGUAUACCUACUGUAUUAUGGAAACGGCGACUCAGGGUCUAUAAUUUGUUCAAGUCUUUUUGUUGUUUCUGUGUUCGCCACUCUUUUGUUGUUGUCUGCAGAAUGUAAUAGGUUUACUAACUGCAUCGGGAUCUCACUUGUUGAUACGAGUAAGGAAGAGCAGUGAGCCUUAAACAGGUCCCUGUAGCACACCGGUGCUAACAACUUCCCAAGGACAGCUCAUGCACCUUAAGGUGGCACUGUGCCUGCUGUUUGAUCACAAGUUAUCAGUCCUUGUCAAGCAGUCACCUUGUAGUCCAAGUGCUUAGAAGUAUCCAGUUAUUAACUUUUCACCUGCUUUAUUUUAUUCUCAUCAUUUAAAAAUACUUCAAAUAUUUAUUUUAAUACUUUCUUUUAAUAUGAUUAAUAUAAUAUUAAAUCAAUUUCAUAUAACUGAAUAAUUAAAACAUAUAAGAUAUAACUAAUAUAAUAUUAAAUUAAUAUAAUCUAAUUUAAUCAUUAAACCAUGUAAGAUAUGAUUAAUAUAAUAUUAAAUUAAUAUUAUAUGAUUGAUCGAAUCAUAUAGGAUAUGAUUCAUAUAAUAUUAUUAAAUCACAUUAUUAACAUAUUAUUCAAUUAUUUUCAUACCUAUUUUAAUAUAUUUCAUUUUAAUAUUUUUAAACAAAUUUUAAUGUUUAAACAGUUCAGGAGAGGAGAGAAAAAUGCUAGAUGAUAUGCACUGACAGGAGGUGUGUUAGGGGAGAAAUAACAUUCCUUAUGUAACUCACAAUUCAAAAGAUAGACUAUUAAAGGGACAGAUAUUCUCAUUUUAAAUUCUAUUUUUGUAAAUAAUAAAAUGUAUCACUCACUGCAUUACUACUGUAUAUAUAUAUUUUUAGUUUGAGUGUUAGUCUUAAGCUGUAUUCUGUACAGGAUCUGUUGUGCCAGAAUCUAAAGAGAAACUGAAAUGAGCCAAACACAAACAUUGUUGAAUUGUAGGAAAUACUGGAGUGGGUCCCAGGAAGCACUAACAUUUCCUGUUAGAAAAUUAAUCUGUUUUGUAGCUGAUUGUAGAUAACUAGAGGGUGUAGUUUCACAUGAUCAUUUGCCGUUCCAGAAUAAUCGUUUUGUGUGUUUAACCAAUCACUCUCCACAGUAACCUCUGACUUGGGGUGUGGCUUUACUGACUAUUCCAAAUGUUGCCUGUCUUGAGGGGUCUGUGAUAGCUACGCUUCUGUUUGAUAUUUUCUGUAUACAUAUUUUCUGUCUAAAUAUUGCAAAUAACAGUGAUAUACGUAAGAGUGGAGGGUAAAAUGACUGUCAUAUUUUUUUAUACAAAUAAAGUGAAAAGGCAGACCUGAACAAAAC
This 2996-nucleotide long non-coding RNA is filed under the name Lepisosteus oculatus (spotted gar). RNAcentral's name for it is "lncRNA (ENSLOCG00000021581.1)". The record is from RNAcentral. Lineage: Eukaryota; Metazoa; Chordata; Actinopteri; Semionotiformes; Lepisosteidae.